RNAcentral lists this non-coding RNA (29 nucleotides) under Rattus norvegicus (Norway rat). The record is from RNAcentral. Lineage: Eukaryota; Metazoa; Chordata; Mammalia; Rodentia; Muridae.
UCACCACUGUGUGCAAAGAACCCCAUGAA